Rattus norvegicus (Norway rat) is the source of this 532-nucleotide non-coding RNA. Lineage: Eukaryota; Metazoa; Chordata; Mammalia; Rodentia; Muridae. The record is from RefSeq and is a predicted model, not a curated record.
GGCCAGCACUCUGGAAAGCUCCUGAGUAGAGAAGCAGGGUCUUCUCUUGGGGGGUAUGGGGUCCAGGUCCAUUAGCUGUCAUAAACAAGCCAGCCCCAGUCGUGGUGGGGUAUGUGGAGUCCGGUGGCAGCAUGAAGAGGGUAAGUCACGAGCAUCCAUUGUGUCUGGGAGUGGCUGAGAAGUGUCAGCUGAGCAGACCUGGGAAGCAGAGAAAGGGGCUCGAGGAUCUGGAAUUGGGAGUCUCUUGGAUAAACUCUGAGGGGAAUAGGUAUGGAGGAGGUAUAGCUGUCCUGAAACUCACUCUGUAGACCCGGCUGGGAUUGAAAUAAGUGAUCUGCCUGCUUCUGCCUCCUGGGUGCUUGGAUUAAAGGUGUGUGGUAUGUGCUACCACUGCCUGCCCCGCCCCUUUUUCUUAUUGCACAACAAAACUUCUAUUAAUAUUUUUAAAAGAGGUUCAACUAUUGCUCAAACUUGCAAUUUCUAAAUGUGAUUUAGGGCAAAUGAACCAGUAAACGGGUGAAUGAACAUUAAG